GGGACGCCAUAGAGGGUGAGAGCCCCGUAUGGUUGGAUACCAAGCCUGUGUGAAACUCCUUCGACGAGUCGAGUAGUUUGGGAAUGCUGCUCAAAAUGGGAGGUAAAUCUCUUCUAAAGCUAAAUAUUGGCCAGAGACCGAUAGCGCACAAGUAGAGUGAUCGAAAGAUGAAAAGCACCUUGAAAAGGGGGUUAAACAGUACGUGAAAUUGUUGAAAGGGAAGCGCUCAUGACCAGACUUGUGCUGGGCAGCUCAUCCGGGGUUCUCCCCGGUGCAUUCUGCCCAGUUCAGGCCAGCAUCGAUUUUUGCUGGGGGAUAAGAACGGUAGGAACGUGGCCCUCCUUCGGGAGGGUGUUAUAGCCUACCGUACGAUACCCUAGCGGAGAUCGAGGUUCGCGCAUCUGCAAGGAUGCUGGCGUAAUGGUCAUCAGCGACCCGUCUUGAAACACGGACCAAGGAGUCGUCCAUUAGAGCGAGCGUUUGGGUGUAAAACCCGCACGCGUAAUGAAAGUGAAAUUAGGUGAGAGCUUCGGCGCAUCAUCGACCGAUCCUGAUGUUCUCGGAUGGAUUUGAGUAAGAGUUUUAACGGACGGACCCGAAAGACAGUGAACUAUGCUUGUAUAGGGUGAAGCCAGAGGAAACUCUGGUGGAGGCUCGCACGGUUCUGACGUGCAAAUCGAUCGUCAAAUAUGAGCAUGGGGGCGAAAGACUAAUCGAACUGUCUAGUAGCUGGUUACCGCCGAAGUUUCCCUCAGGAUAGCAGUGUUGACCUUCAGUUUUAUGAGGUAAAGCGAAUGAUUAGGGACUCGGGGGCGCUUUUUAGCCUUCAUCCAUUCUCAAACUUUAAAUAUGUAAGAAGCCCUUGUUACUUAGUUGAACGUGGGCAUUCGAAUGUAUCAACACUAGUGGGCCAUUUUUGGUAAGCAGAACUGGCGAUGCGGGAUGAACCGAACGCGGGGUUAAGGCGCCAGAGUGUACGCUCAUCAGACACCACAAAAGGCGUUAGUACA
Molecule: ribosomal RNA, 1010 nt
Filed under: Coniella vitis
Lineage: Eukaryota; Fungi; Ascomycota; Sordariomycetes; Diaporthales; Schizoparmaceae
Description: eukaryotic LSU rRNA
Rfam family: Eukaryotic large subunit ribosomal RNA
Source: RNAcentral